CUGUGCGAAGGUGGUGGAGGAGCUGGCGGGCACGGGUCUGGUCAAGGCACACUGGCUGCUCCCCAACUAAUGCUGGGUUCUGGAGACUGGAAAGUCUAAGAUGAAUGUGCUGACAGAAUUGGUGUCUGAGAGGAGGUCCCGCAUAGUUCUACAUCAUCUGGAGGAGGCUCAGUCUGGGACCAAAUCAUCACUGACCUUGUUCUGACUAUUGAGUCAUGGGUGAUGCAUGAGCAAGACCCAGCAGGAUUGAGAACUUCUAAUGGGCUUUGCUGUCAAAAGGUGCUAUUUUUAGCUACUAGACAUUAUUUUUAAUAUAAAUAAAUAUGAUAGUGCCUAGCAAUAGA
Mustela erminea (ermine) is the source of this 344-nucleotide long non-coding RNA. RefSeq lists it as uncharacterized. NCBI's taxonomy places the organism in Eukaryota, Metazoa, Chordata, Mammalia, Carnivora, Mustelidae. The transcript is spliced from 3 exons. The record is from RefSeq and is a predicted model, not a curated record.